Long non-coding RNA from Daphnia pulicaria, 1369 nucleotides. RefSeq lists it as uncharacterized. The record is from RefSeq and is a predicted model, not a curated record. The transcript is spliced from 7 exons. NCBI's taxonomy places the organism in Eukaryota, Metazoa, Arthropoda, Branchiopoda, Diplostraca, Daphniidae.
GAAUCUAGGAGUUCUAAACCGCAUGAAUUCUAAUCAAAAAGUUAGUAUGGAACCAUAGUCUACUGAUUGUGUUUGUAACUAGUGCUAAAAGACCAAAGUUUUCAAGUUUGUUUCAAAUGUUUUCUAUGUCUGUGCAAUUAACUAAUUGUUCUUUGUUCUAUUUGUAAACCAAAUUUAUGUAACAGGAGGAUGUAACAAGAUAAGAUGUAUCUCAACUGGUCCUCCCUCUUAUUCUUCUACGAGGCAAACAUAGAAAAUAGAUCUACAUUGAUUGCAACUCCCACCUUAAACACGCGAACAAACAGUUACCUUUGUUGGACAGCCAAAUGUUACCAAAAUAGGCAUAACUAAUGCAUAACAUCUCUCGAUUUAGUUGAGUUGAGUACUGACAGAUAUGUUGUUUGGUUUUUGGUUAUGGAUUAAGUUUACCACUUAGUAAAGCCAACCGAGCAUGACCCAAUAGAAGAUUGUGUUCAUGGUUAUUGUGAGUGGCUCUCAGCAUUGCUUCCUCAGCCAAAUAUGCUGUCCCCCUUCGUUUAGUAACUCAAAAUUUGCCAAGAUGCUUCCCAUGACCAGCAACGAUGUCAUCUUGGCCCCUUCUACUGUUCUAAAUAAUAUUGGGGAUAGACUUUGUAAUCGUCCUUUAAGUGUCUUUGUUGCAAUUCGGCUUCAUGCAUGCGCCAAAAGUUUUCCUUCUUCUCGGAUGUGGAAAACGUUAAUGAAAUUAGCCCAAUCAUGGCGACAUCGCACUAGUUUCAUUACCCAAUGGAAUCGGAUUGUCUGGUUGUCUGGAAAAGUCUUAACGCGAGUUUGCUAAGGUUGAAACUGAUAACGGGCGAGCAAUUUCACAAACGAAUGUGAUGCAUUUCUCCAAAUGGGGUAGCAGGAAAUCUACAAGGCCCUGUAACAUGGAAGUCGAGCUGGAAAUCCGCGGAAGGGUUUCCUUCACAAAUAGAUAAACCGUCCACAGCCUUGACACAAAUUCGACUGUGGGAUACAUAAGGGCACCCCGGUUUCAACCUAGUCGAUAGAUGAGCUGCAUCAGUGGGUCUGUGGUUCUUAUCCCCUGAAGGCGGGCUACACAAUCCACACAAAACUCUUGCUCCAAUAGGACACGUACGAGGUAUCCAGAAAGUAGUGCUACAGUGCAAGCUUGUGAUGUUGGCCUCGGCUGCACUAACAAUUCCAGAAAGAAUUAAAACUGGUUCGCGAGACAAGGUGGUAUUGCCGUAGAUUGAAUUGUAGGCGAUGCCCGUCCGCAGUAUCUUUUCAAAAGCCUGUGAAACAGCUGUAGCGUCGCCCUUGAAGUUGCCGCCGAUCAACUGACGAAUAGCCCCAAACAACUGUUCGAUGGGGUCACUCGAGAAAC